GACGAACGCUGGCGGCGUGCUUAACACAUGCAAGUCGAGCGGUAAGGCCCUUUCGGGGGUACACGAGCGGCGAACGGGUGAGUAACACGUGGGUGACCUGCCCUCAGCUCUGGGAUAAGCCUGGGAAACUGGGUCUAAUACUGGAUAUGACUCCACGGUGCAUGUCGUGGGGUGGAAAGCCUUGUGCGGCUGAGGAUGGGCCCGCGGCCUAUCAGCUUGUUGGUGGGGUGANGGCCUACCAAGGCGACGACGGGUAGCCGGCCUGAGAGGGCGACCGGCCACACUGGGACUGAGACACGGCCCAGACUUCUACGGGAGGCAGCAGUGGGGAAUCUUGCGCAAUGGGCGAAAGCCUGACGCAGCGACGCCGCGUGAGGGAUGACGGCCU
This 388-nucleotide ribosomal RNA is filed under the name uncultured bacterium. RNAcentral's name for it is "bacterial SSU rRNA". It matches the Rfam family "Bacterial small subunit ribosomal RNA", at positions 28 to 417 of the family's 1533-position model. The record is from RNAcentral.